RNAcentral lists this ribosomal RNA (253 nucleotides) under uncultured bacterium. Its description in RNAcentral is "partial 16S ribosomal RNA". It matches the Rfam family "Bacterial small subunit ribosomal RNA", at positions 524 to 776 of the family's 1533-position model. The record is from RNAcentral.
UACGUAGGGGGCAAGCGUUGUCCGGAUCUAUUGGGCGUAAAGCGCUCGCAGGCGGUCCCGUGCGUCGUGCGUGAAAGGCCCCGGCUCAACCGGGGGCGGUCGUGCGAUACGGCGGGACUGGAGGCCAGUAGGGGGGCGCGGAAUUCCGGGUGUAGUGGUGGAAUGCGUAGAGAUCCGGAGGAACACCAGCGGCGAAGGCGGCGUCCUGGACUGGACCUGACGCUCAGGAGCGAAAGCGUGGGGAGCGAUCAGG